AGCGAUAGACAUGUGGGCAAUGACCCUGCACAAUAAAGGUUCGAUAAAGUCAGCAGCUCGACCCCCCCUGUAGCUCGGUUUAUCAGGCAGCGACGUGAGCGUUUCCCUGUACUUCGAGCAGACGCUAAACCUUUGCCUGCGACGACUGUUUCCAAGUACCAGCAGCGGACACAACCAUGUCGCACAUGCUCGGAUUGUGCUGCUGCAAGGGAUGCGAAGAUUGCCGAAAGGGGCUACGCGCCCGGCUGCCCUCAUGCCUAGGUGGCGGGGAAGAGGGAGAGCAGCAGCAGCAGCAGCAGCAGCAGCAGGAGGAGCAAAGUACGCCGGAACAGGCACCGGACCCAGACGAGGCGCAUCCCUUGCUUCCACUACGCCCAGACGCAGUCAUGCAAGAGCCUUCGUCCUUGUCUCCCGAAGGGGCCUCACCUUCGGGUGCUGCUGGAGUGGGCGACGUGCCCAAAGGCAGCUCGGACGAUUCGGACACGUCCUCCACACUCAGCAAGGCAUCGCUCACGAGCAUGGACACCACAUUCUCCGUAGUGACGACACAUGACUGACUCGGCACCAGCGGUACGGCAACGGUCAGCGUCGAUGUACCAAAGGUCCCGUUCAAUACGUCCAGCGAGGACUCUGAGACACCUCCGUAGGUGCUGCUGUCGACCUAGGUGUGGCCCCGCCUGCAGGAGUGCAACGAGCCGCUUGUGCGUUGUAGCUGCUUUUAUCCCGCAGUUCUGUUGUCUUUUUGCAGCGUGCCUACGUUUUAUUGCUAUUUUACGAAUAAACUUUCCUUUUUUUUUAACUUU
This is an RNA transcript of Dermacentor andersoni, 803 nucleotides long. RefSeq lists it as uncharacterized. Lineage: Eukaryota; Metazoa; Arthropoda; Arachnida; Ixodida; Ixodidae. The record is from RefSeq and is a predicted model, not a curated record.